CCGGAGGGCGGGCAGGCGCCUCGUGGGGGUGCGGACCCAGAGGGCCAGGGUCAUCGUGCAAAGCCACCGAGAUGUGCGCAUUCUCAGUUCCUGUCACAGAGUAAACACUCCUGAGGACCUGCCCCAUGGGCUUCAGAAUCAGAGAGAGCCUGCUUUUAAAUCUCAGAAAGGUUCCAGGAAGCAGGGUCAAGGCCAGGGAGACAAUGGUCUCAGUGACUAUGGGUGAGUGGUUUCCCCUCAAGGUCCCUUCUGCCCACGGUAUGGUUUGGGUCUAGAGAGGUAGAGGGAUGGUAACAGGCAGGAACAGCUGGGCACUACUGGGGUGGGGGCGGGGCUGGAGCCUGUGCAAGGCUGUCUAUUUUCUUCCC
Molecule: long non-coding RNA, 368 nt
Filed under: Rattus norvegicus (Norway rat)
Lineage: Eukaryota; Metazoa; Chordata; Mammalia; Rodentia; Muridae
Description: long non-coding RNA NONRATT000518
Source: RNAcentral